UCGGAUAUAUUCAAAGGGUAAAGCCGCGCGGCUGUACUCUUAAAAUAUUAAAUUUAAACAGUAUAGCCGUGCGGCUUUACUCUUAAAAUAUUAUAUU
Molecule: microRNA precursor, 97 nt
Filed under: Prunus dulcis (almond)
Lineage: Eukaryota; Viridiplantae; Streptophyta; Magnoliopsida; Rosales; Rosaceae
Description: sRNA ncRNA
Source: RNAcentral